GUAGGUGGCAAGCGUUGUCCGGAAUUAUUGGGCGUAAAGCGCGCGCAGGCGGUCCUUUAAGUCUGAUGUGAAAGCCCACGGGCUCAACCGUGAGGGUCAUUGGAAACUGGGGGACUUGAGUACAGAAGAGGAAAGCGGAAUUCCAAGUGUAGCGGUGAAAUGCGUAGAGAUUUGGAGGAACACCAGUGGCGAAGGCGGCUUUCUGGUCUGUAACUGACGCUGAGGCGCGAAAGCGUGGGGAGCAAACAGGAUUAGAUACCCUGGUAGUCCACGCCGUAAACGAUGAGUGCUAAGUGUUAGGGGGUUUCCGCCCCUUAGUGCUGCAGCUAACGCAUUAAGCACUCCGCCUGGGGAGUACGGCCGCAAAGGCUGA
RNAcentral lists this ribosomal RNA (373 nucleotides) under uncultured organism. Its description in RNAcentral is "partial 16S ribosomal RNA". It matches the Rfam family "Bacterial small subunit ribosomal RNA", at positions 527 to 897 of the family's 1533-position model. The record is from RNAcentral.